Molecule: ribosomal RNA, 570 nt
Filed under: uncultured archaeon
Lineage: Archaea
Description: bacterial SSU rRNA
Rfam family: Archaeal small subunit ribosomal RNA
Source: RNAcentral
GGGGGAAUAAGGAGAGGGCAAGUCUGGUGUCAGCCGCCGCGGUAAUACCAGCUCUCCGAGUGGUGUGGAUGUUUAUUGGGCCUAAAGCAUCCGUAGCUGGCUAGGUUAGUCCCCUGUUAAAUCCACCGAAUUAAUCGUUGGAUUGCGGGGGAUACUGCUUGGCUAGGGAACGAGAGAGGCAGACGGUAUUUCCGGGGUAGGGGUGAAAUCCUAUAAUCCCGGGAAGACCACCAGUGGCGAAGGCUGUCUGCUAGAACGCGUCCGACGGUGAGGGAUGAAAGCUGGGGGAGCGAACCGGAUUAGAUACCCGGGUAGUCCCAGCUGUAAACGAUGCAGGCUAGGUGUUUGAACGGCCACGUGCCGUUCUAGUGCCGCAGGGAAGCUGUUAAGCCUGCCGCCUGGGGAGUACGAUCGCAAGAUUGAAACUUAAAGGAAUUGGCGGGGGAGCACCACAAGGGGUGAAGCUUGCGGUUUAAUUGGAGUCAACGCCGGAAAUCUCACCGGGAGCGACAGCAGAGUGAAGGCCAGAUUAAAGGUCUUGCCAGACAAGCUGAGAAGAAGUGCAUGGCC